AUCUAGCCGAUGAGUCCCAAAUAGGAUGAAACGCGCAUCUUGUAU
Molecule: non-coding RNA, 45 nt
Filed under: Schistosoma mattheei
Lineage: Eukaryota; Metazoa; Platyhelminthes; Trematoda; Strigeidida; Schistosomatidae
Source: RNAcentral